AGGUUGGGUAACACUAACUGGAGGACCGAACCGACUAAUGUUGAAAAAUUAGCGGAUGACUUGUGGCUGGGGGUGAAAGGCCAAUCAAACCGGGAGAUAGCUGGUUCUCCCCGAAAGCUAUUUAGGUAGCGCCUCGUGAAUUCAUCUCCGGGGGUAGAGCACUGUUUCGGCAAGGGGGUCAUCCCGACUUACCAACCCGAUGCAAACUGCGAAUACCGGAGAAUGUUAUCACGGGAGACACACGGCGGGUGCUAACGUCCGUCGUGAAGAGGGAAACAACCCAGACCGCCAGCUAAGGUCCCAAAGUCAUGGUUAAGUGGGAAACGAUGUGGGAAGGCCCAGACAGCCAGGAUGUUGGCUUAGAAGCAGCCAUCAUUUAAAGAAAGCGUAAUAGCUCACUGGUCGAGUCGGCCUGCGCGGAAGAUGUAACGGGGCUAAACCAUGCACCGAAGCUGCGGCAGCGACACUAUGUGUUGUUGGGUAGGGGAGCGUUCUGUAAGCCUGUGAAGGUGUGCUGUGAGGCAUGCUGGAGGUAUCAGAAGUGCGAAUGCUGACAUAAGUAACGAUAAAGCGGGUGAAAAGCCCGCUCGCCGGAAGACCAAGGGUUCCUGUCCAACGUUAAUCGGGGCAGGGUGAGUCGACCCCUAAGGCGAGGCCGAAAGGCGUAGUCGAUGGGAAACAGGUUAAUAUUCCUGUACUUGGUGUUACUGCGAAGGGGGGACGGAGAAGGCUAUGUUGGCCGGGCGACGGUUGUCCCGGUUUAAGCGUGUAGGCUGGUUUUCCAGGCAAAUCCGGAAAAUCAAGGCUGAGGCGUGAUGACGAGGCACUACGGUGCUGAAGCAACAAAUGCCCUGCUUCCAGGAAAAGCCUCUAAGCAUCAGGUAACAUCAAAUCGUACCCCAAACCGACACAGGUGGUCAGGUAGAGAAUACCAAGGCGCUUGAGAGAACUCGGGUGAAGGAACUAGGCAAAAUGGUGCCGUAACUUCGGGAGAA
This 995-nucleotide ribosomal RNA is filed under the name Escherichia coli. Its description in RNAcentral is "partial 23S ribosomal RNA". It matches the Rfam family "Bacterial large subunit ribosomal RNA", at positions 749 to 1744 of the family's 2925-position model. Lineage: Bacteria; Pseudomonadati; Pseudomonadota; Gammaproteobacteria; Enterobacterales; Enterobacteriaceae. The record is from RNAcentral.